Molecule: long non-coding RNA, 3515 nt
Filed under: Sus scrofa (pig)
Lineage: Eukaryota; Metazoa; Chordata; Mammalia; Artiodactyla; Suidae
Description: lncRNA (ENSSSCG00065061779.1)
Source: RNAcentral
GUAAGACGGGGCCAAGGAGGCAGGUGGGAGGGCCGCUGCCGAGGGACGAGGCAGGGGACAGCCCCGGCUAAGCUGGUAGCCAUGGAGACGGAGGCGGGGCUGGAUCCCAGAAAUCCCGGAGGAAGAAGCCACAGGACUCAGUGCUUCAUUAAGCUCAUGAAGUUGGGGCAAAAAAGAGUGAGCGCUUAUCUGAGCCCAUGAUUGUUUCCCACAUUCGAGAAUUCAUGCGUUUAGAGAGAAAUGGAGUUCAGAUAUUUCUGGUGAAUCAUGACAUGAUGACUUGAGUCUAUAAAAGUGCGUAACUCAGUUUAACCAGCCGCAGCCCUCUGGCUCCUGGUUCAGAACUCAAUCUGCAGCACCUUAAACGUGAGGAAAACGACAGCUUCAGGGACCCUGGACGGAGCAUCGGGUGUGUCCCGCUGUGAGUGGUUGGCUGGUGUCCCUGACAUCAGACACAAAGAAGAAAAAAGGGGACUGAGAGAAAAGAAGUGCUAGAAUAUAAUAGAGGGAGAACUACAGAAGGGAAGGGGCAAGAAAGGCAAACGUGGAGAGGAAGCGAGAGGUAGCCAGGUGCGCGUGGCCCCAAAGGUGCCGAAGGGGAGGCAUCUGGGGCGAGAGGACGCAGAGCCGGGAGGCUGAGGACAAAGGCUGGACUUGGGCCCAGUGCGUUAGUGAGCAGUGAGGAAGGAGAGCCUACUUCCAGAUGGUAGGGGACAGGCAAGGGGACCCCAGAGGUACAUCCAGCCUAGACCAGGCCAUUCUCCUAGACCUGCUGCCUGAAGGACUUCAGCAGUUCCUUGGAGAGAAAAACUGACAUUUGUAGAACUUUUGCCCAUAACUUCGCAGGGUAAGUCCUGGCAGCGCUCUUUGCAGAGGGGGCUUCAGACAUCCCCAACAGACUCCUCUGCUGGCAUCGUGGAGGCCCAAGGAAUGACCCAGCCCUCUUCUGUGUCCUUAUCUGCAGGCAGCUGACCUGGGUGGAUCCUACCCCAGUCAAGAAUCUAGAUCUAGAUUGGGAACAGUCAGGGAAACUGCCUGUCCCCGAAGGUUCAGUGAGCCUCAUGUAGUUCACGUCACCUUGCGAGCCUCACAACAGCCCUAGGAGGCAGGGGUGGAGGGAGUGUCUGCACACACCAAUGAGAAAUGGCAGGCAAGGUUGGCUCAUGCCCUGCAAAGCGGGGGCUGCCGUCACAGCCCUCUCCAAGCGGCUCUGCCCGUCACAGGACUGGGUCCCGGCCUGUCAAGUUCAGACCCACCCUUUGGCACAGGUCCCGUUAGCCAGGCUCUCAGGCCGAGUGUGCAAAGCCGGGAUGCUGACAUGCUCAUCUUCAGCAUGACUCAGUUUCCAGGGGCCAGAGCCCACCCACCAUGCACAGCUGGCCCUUUCUCCCUGUGGUCGAACUACUUGGGAGCUGAUUCAUAGUCAGAAGGCUACUUUAUAAACAUUGAAUGAGUACUGUAACCAUUGUGGGGAGCAGAACCCGCAUGGCCAGCCCCAUAGGGCUUUCUGGUUACUUGGGUCAGAUACUGUCAUGUAAGACCAGGAGCCGUUCCUAUGAGCCCUUUAGAAAAAUGCUUUGUGGAGUUCCCAUUGGGGCUCAGUGGUAACAAACCUGACUAGUAUCCAUGAGGACACAGGUUUGAUCCCUGGCCUUGCUCAGUGGGUUAAGGAUCCAGCAUUGCUGUGAGCUGUGAUAUAGGUCACAGACGUGGCUGGAUCCCACGUUGCUGUGGCUGUGGCUGUGGCCAGCAGCUGCAGCUCGGAUUCAACCCCUAACCUGGGAACUUUCAUAUGCCAUGGGUGUGGCCCUAAAAAGCAAAGAAAAAAAAUGCUUUGUUAGAAGAGCCUAAUAAUUUUAAAUAAUACAUUUAAAGUUAAUUUUAAAACACACGUCCUUUCUCAUUCUGUGCAUUUAUCUAAGUAUUUAAAAACCUAUUUCAACAAAAGAAAAAGACUGUUUGACAUGUUCUUUUGGAAAGUGCCUUUCCAGCAGGAAAGUCUCAGCAACAGAAUCUCCAGGGCAUCCAGGCGUACUUUGGCCUGUCCUGGAUUACUGCCAGGAGAUUGAACCACAGGGGCAGUGCACACAGGCCUUCUAAUGUGAAGGUGACUUGGACCUAAGCCAGGGGAAAGUGAUCUUUGGCUGCGGUUUGAUGUUUGUCUGACCAAGAGGGGUCACCUCGUUUCUGCCCAUAAUUGUCAACCUGCAGCCCUGCUUCAAAAAUACUUUUCUUCAAUACCCAGAAAAGCCACAAGCAAUUACUUGGUGAAAGCCUGCUUCUGUUUGUCUCAGUCUGCCCACAAACGCGCCUCUUUAGCUGGCUGUGUCUCCCUUGUGUGUGUGGCUUCUGGCUUCGUGUCUCUGGGGACCGUGUGCUCAUCUCCGUUCUUACUGCCUUUUUGCCUUCCUGAAGGCUGUCUAUCUGUCUCUCUCAGGUUUAUGUUUCCAGCUCAGGCAUCUCCUCAGAGCUCCAGACUUGCCCUUGCUCUCCGGGCAUCUCCCCUGGGGGAGCUCAGAGCCGCCCCCCCAUCAGCGUUCCCCUGGGACCCCCACCUCACUAAGUGCUAGCACCACCUGUUGGUUGCACAAGGCAAGCACCUGAUGGUCACAUUUAGUUCCUUCCUCCCCCAUUCUUCCCUAAACGCCACCAGGCUCUGUACAUUUUCUUCCUAGGUGGGUGCUCUCGCGUGGCCUGCUGGAAGCUACCCUCAUCUCUCACCUUGCCUGGGCGGGGGCUCGCCAUCCAUUCCUCUCCCCAUCCAGUGAAAUCCCCGACAGAAUCUGAUCACACUGCCUCCUUAAAGGUGCUUUCCUGCUGGUGGCUCCUAGGAAGGAGGGCAGCAUCCUUCACCUGGCCCACAAGCUUCACACCCCACCCACCUCCAGCUCUGCGGUACCACACGCCCCACUGCCCAGGCUCCAGCCCCGAGGGCCUCCUCUCAGCUCCUGGAAAAGGCCUCAGUCUUCUCCACAAACUCCUGCCCACCUCUCGGGACUCCGGGGAGGUUCCUGGGGAAGCACCACCCCCCAUGGCUUUCUGUGCGUGGCCUUCACAGCUCUGACGGGGUCAUCCCUCUGCAGGCUCAUUCAGUGAGAGUCGCUGCCCCGGGGACAUGCAGGCUCCAAGAGAGCAGCCCUGUCUCUCCCGCACCGUGCGUUCCCAGUGACCUGAACCUCGCCUGGCCUGCAGCUGCUCCGUCAGCAGGGACUGAAGCAGGGAGGGAGGGAGGAGAAAAAGAGAACUGGAUAUUCCUCCGCCUGUAUUUGCCUUCAUCUCUCCAUGUUACCUUUUUCUCUUAAAAAAAAAAAGGUCAUUACUUUUUUAGCUCAGUGACUAGGUUAGUGUUCUCAACCUGAAUAAAAAAGUUUCCUUCCAGGAGUUCACUUGUGGCCCAGUGGGUUAAGGAGCUGGUGGUGUUACUGCUGUGGCUCUGGUUGCGGCUGUGGUACAAAUUCUACCCCUGGCCCAGGAACGUCCACAUGCCGUGGGCACGGCCAAAAAAAAAGAAAAAA